UUUUUGUCCCUUGUGCGUCCCCUUUUAUUUUUCUCGUUUCAAGCACUGUCGGUAAGUCGUUCACAAAACGAAUUUAGAUUCUUAAAAAAACAUUAUUUUUAAUUUGUUAAUACAGAUGCGCGUGUUCUGGCACGAAAAGUUUUGAAGCUAUUUAAACGCAAUUAAGGGGCGAAAAUAGUACAAAUACAAACGUUGAUUGAAUAAUCAAUACGUUUUCUUAUCAAUUUCGUGUAUUAUUACGUAUCGUAAUUAAAUGCCAAAUU
Cinara cedri is the source of this 263-nucleotide non-coding RNA. The record is from the annotation of a GenBank genome assembly. Lineage: Eukaryota; Metazoa; Arthropoda; Insecta; Hemiptera; Aphididae.